CAGUCGCCGCGGGAAUACGAAGGGUGCAGGCGUUAGUCGGAAUUACUGGGCGUAAAGCGUGCGUAGGCGGUGAGUUAAGUCUGCUGUGAAAUCCCCGGGCUCAACCUGGGAAUGGCAGUGGAUACUGGCUCGCUAGAGUGUGUCAGAGGAUGGUGGAAUUCCCGGUGUAGCGGUGAAAUGCGUAGAGACCGGGAGGAACAUCAGUGGCGAAGGCGGCCAUCUGGGACAACACUGACGCUGAGGCACGAAAGUGUGGGGAGCAAACAGGAUUAGAGACCCGUGUAGUCCCUGUCUCUUAUAC
Molecule: ribosomal RNA, 301 nt
Filed under: uncultured bacterium
Lineage: Bacteria
Description: partial 16S ribosomal RNA
Rfam family: Bacterial small subunit ribosomal RNA
Source: RNAcentral